UAGGGAAUCUUCGGCAAUGGGGGCAACCCUGACCGAGCAACGCCGCGUGAGUGAAGAAGGUUUUCGGAUCGUAAAGCUCUGUUGUAAGAGAAGAACGUGUGUGAGAGUGGAAAGUUCACACAGUGACGGUAACUUACCAGAAAGGGACGGCUAACUACGUGCCAGCAGCCGCGGUAAUACGUAGGUCCCGAGCGUUGUCCGGAUUUAUUGGUCGUAAAUCGAGCGCAGGCGGUUUAAUAAGUCUGAAGUUAAAGGCAGUGGCUUAACCAUUGUUCGCUUUGGAAACUGUUGAACUUGAGUGCAGAAGGGGAGAGUGGAAUUCCAUGUGUAGCGGUGAAAUGCGUAGAUAUAUGGAGGAACACCGGUGGCGAAAGCGGCUCUCUGGUCUGUAACUGACGCUGAGGCUCGAAAGCGUGGGGAGCAAACAGG
Molecule: ribosomal RNA, 429 nt
Filed under: bacterium
Lineage: Bacteria
Description: partial 16S ribosomal RNA
Rfam family: Bacterial small subunit ribosomal RNA
Source: RNAcentral